AGAGUUUGAUCCUGGCUCAGAUUGAACGCUGGCGGCAUGCCUUACACAUGCAAGUCGAACGGCAGCACGGAGCUUGCUCUGGUGGCGAGUGGCGAACGGGUGAGUAAUAUAUCGGAACGUACCCUAGAGUGGGGGAUAACGUAGCGAAAGUUACGCUAAUACCGCAUACGAUCUAAGGAUGAAAGUGGGGGAUCGCAAGACCUCAUGCUCGUGGAGCGGCCGAUAUCUGAUUAGCUAGUUGGUAGGGUAAAAGCCUACCAAGGCAUCGAUCAGUAGCUGGUCUGAGAGGACGACCAGCCACACUGGAACUGAGACACGGUCCAGACUCCUACGGGAGGCAGCAGUGGGGAAUUUUGGACAAUGGGCGAGAGCCUGAUCCAGCAAUGCCGCGUGAGUGAAGAAGGCCUUCGGGUUGUAAAGCUCUUUUGUCAGGGAAGAAACGGUGAGAGCUAAUAUCUCUUGCUAAUGACGGUACCUGAAGAAUAAGCACCGGCUAACUACGUGCCAGCAGCCGCGGUAAUACGUAGGGUGCAAGCGUUAAUCGGAAUUACUGGGCGUAAAGCGUGCGCAG
This 571-nucleotide ribosomal RNA is filed under the name uncultured bacterium. RNAcentral describes it as "bacterial SSU rRNA". It matches the Rfam family "Bacterial small subunit ribosomal RNA", at positions 8 to 574 of the family's 1533-position model. The record is from RNAcentral.